GGGUCAGUAGGUUGGUCGUGCCACCGGUACGUACUGGUCUCACUGAUUCCUCCUUCCUGAAGAACCUUAAUGCCAUUAAUUUGGUGUUGCGGGGAAACAGGACUGUUACUUUGAAAAAAUUAGAGUGUUUAAAGCAAGCUAACGCUUGAAUACAUUAGCAUGGAAUAAUGAAAUAGGACGAUCGAACCUAUUUUGUUGGUUUCUAGGAUUGACGUA
Molecule: ribosomal RNA, 216 nt
Filed under: Glomeromycotina sp.
Lineage: Eukaryota; Fungi; Glomeromycota
Description: partial small subunit ribosomal RNA
Rfam family: Eukaryotic small subunit ribosomal RNA (bases 40-216)
Source: RNAcentral